This is a non-coding RNA of Cinara cedri, 359 nucleotides long. NCBI's taxonomy places the organism in Eukaryota, Metazoa, Arthropoda, Insecta, Hemiptera, Aphididae. The record is from the annotation of a GenBank genome assembly.
CGGAAUUCGUCGGCCGUUCGUGCGUUAGUAUAGUAUUCCAGAAUAUGUUUUCGAACGCAGAAAAUUCGCGUGCCAAGGGACCGUUAUAUUACUGUUCGAUCUAAAUCCCAUAGUCUACGGACUUUGCCGAUCGUCGCCGGGAACAUCGGGGUUUUCGCCCGCAUCCCUGCGACAGAUGUAUACGAUCGGUCAGCGUUCCCGGCGCCAAGAGUGCGGAUUUCAUCGGAUGCUACACACAACGGUCGCGCAGGGACGAGAGGAUGGAACCCGGAGCUAUUAUAUUGUAGUUUUAAAACGACGCCCCUGCAGCUGCUUAUACAGUAUUUGUUUUCACCACUUUUGCGAAUAACGUUUUGUGA